UCCAGACUCCUACGGGAGGCAGCAGUGGGGAAUAUUGCACAAUGGGGGGAACCCUGAUGCAGCGACGCCGCGUGAGUGAAGAAGUAUCUCGGUACGUAAAGCUCUAUCAGCAGGGAAGAAAAUGACGGUACCUGACUAAGAAGCCCCGGCUAACUACGUGCCAGCAGCCGCGGUAAUACGUAGGGGGCAAGCGUUAUCCGGAUUUACUGGGUGUAAAGGGAGCGUAGACGGCACUGCAAGUCCGGAGUGAAAGCCCGAGGCUUAACCAUGGGACUGCUCUGGAAACUGUGGAGCUUGAGUGCGGGAGGGGCAGGCGGAAUUCCUAGUGUAGCGGUGAAAUGCGUAGAUAUUAGGAGGAACACCGGCGGCGAAGGCGGCCUGCUGGACCGUAACUGACGUUGAGGCUUGAAAGCGUGGGGAGCAAACAGGAUUAGAUACCCCAGUA
Molecule: ribosomal RNA, 445 nt
Filed under: uncultured bacterium
Lineage: Bacteria
Description: bacterial SSU rRNA
Rfam family: Bacterial small subunit ribosomal RNA
Source: RNAcentral